GACGAACGCUGGCGGCGUGCUUAACACAUGCAAGUCGAACGGAAAGGCCCUGCUUUUGUGGGGUGCUCGAGUGGCGAACGGGUGAGUAACACGUGAGUAACCUGCCCUUGACUUUGGGAUAACUUCAGGAAACUGGGGCUAAUACCGGAUAGGAGCUCCUGCUGCAUGGGGGGGGUUGGAAAGUUUCGGCGGUUGGGGAUGGACUCGCGGCUUAUCAGCUUGUUGGUGGGGUAGUGGCUUACCAAGGCUUUGACGGGUAGCCGGCCUGAGAGGGUGACCGGCCACAUUGGGACUGCGAUACGGCCCAGACUCCUACGGGCGGCAGCAGUGGGGAAUAUUGCACAAUGGGCGGAAGCCUGAUGCGGCAACGCCGCGUGCGGGAUGACGGCCUUCGGGUUGUAAACCGCUUUCGCCUGUGACGAAGCGUGAGUGACGGUAAUGGGUAAAGAAGCACCGGCUAACUACGUG
RNAcentral lists this ribosomal RNA (468 nucleotides) under uncultured bacterium. RNAcentral's name for it is "partial 16S ribosomal RNA". It matches the Rfam family "Bacterial small subunit ribosomal RNA", at positions 28 to 507 of the family's 1533-position model. The record is from RNAcentral.